Long non-coding RNA from Nicotiana attenuata, 1026 nucleotides. RefSeq lists it as uncharacterized. The transcript is spliced from 4 exons. The record is from RefSeq and is a predicted model, not a curated record. Lineage: Eukaryota; Viridiplantae; Streptophyta; Magnoliopsida; Solanales; Solanaceae.
UCUUUUCUUCACAUUUAGUUGCCUUAUUUUCUUUCUUCUUCACCUUCUCUCUGCUAGCUCGCUCUUUCUCUCUUCGACCUCUUCCAUUUUUAGUAUUUUCUACUGGAUUUCGACCUCUUCCCUUUACCAAUUCUUUUUUGGUGUUAUCGAUUACUUCUCGUUACGGAGAAAUUGAGAAAUGGCUGAUUCCUUUAUUUGGCUAUGGACGCAAUCAGACCAGUAUCUUGGCUUGGCAAACUUUAGAUGGUGAAAAUUGCUCAAGUUGGGGAAGAGGGACACCGCGUCGACUGUAAGAGAUUCUAAGCUUAGUUAUAUUGUUAAAUGUUCAAGCAUACUGUAUAGAUGCGUGUACUUUAAGAAUAAAUUAAAUGUUAAAAUUACAAAAUUUAGACCUUACCAUAGAAACUUUAUGAAACGCUUGAAAAACAGACACCUAACAAUAACAAGAAUAUAGGCGAAGCACAAAUAUAGCCGGGGGAAUAUUCAUAUCUAGGUGCCAAAGAUAGUGAAAAAAAAAAACCUUAGGCGAUGUAUUGUAUACAGAAAAAAGGAACCUGAAUGAAAGACAACACUUUUAGAACAAUGUUAGGUAGAAUGUGUGCGAGAUCUAUCUGAAAAUUCUACUGCCUAACUAUUCAGAUCGAUACAUUCUUCCUUUGAACCUAACGUCAUGAUUCCAGACUUUAUUAAGGACAAACCUUCUUCUUCUUCGGGGACAAGCCUUCUAACACAUUACUGAAGAUCCCUGGUGUUGUACAACAGAUGAUUUCUCAAUUUCUUUUACUCUUUCUGGUCAUUACUCAAUCUAGGUGUGAGCUCAUUGAGAUGGUACAUGCUCAAAUUCGGCUUGAUGUAACUAUAAAUGGAGAUGAAAUAAAGAGAUGCUUGCACAUUUGAUUCCUAUAUUGUACUUACUUUGGUUGUUAUGUAGUAAUAGCUAAGUAGAUAUGAAAGUUUAAGAUGAUUUGAUUCUAAUUUGUGUACGAAUGAACUUUGGACUGUAUAACAUGGACUGUUCCUAGACUA